CCCUUCAUCUAGAACAUUACUGUCUUUUAAAAGAACUGAGAAAGGCAAUUUAUUACUUCAAGAGAAUAUACCAACAGAGGCUGAGGAAACAAGCAGGCCAGCCAUGUCCCCUGUCCUAAGCAGAGGGGAUCUAAUGGACUUCACAAGGGCUGUAAAGGCCUGAUACAGAGAUAAAAUGCUGUAUGUGUGUGUGUGUGUCUGUGUGUGUGUCUGUCUGUCUAUUUUCUGGGAAGAAGAUUUGAUCAGGUAUUCAAAAGGAUGUAGGAAUAAAAGAAAACAUUAGAGAAUAACCAGAGGAGGGGCAUGUGGCAAGUUAGAACUGCUAAAAUAGUGAAGUACUUUUACUAAAUUUUCUACAUUAAUCACAAAUUUUAUAAGAAACUUUGUCAUGCCUUUGAAUUUUCAUGUCAUUGAACUUUAAUCUGCAAAGGGAUUUAGGUGUCUUUUUUGAAAAAAGAUUUUAUUUUUUAGAGCAAUUUUAGGUUCACAGCAAUAUUGAACAGAGAACGUUGUAUAGAGGUUGAAUAUUGAAUAAAGAAUAUUGAAUACUGUA
Molecule: long non-coding RNA, 553 nt
Organism: Chinchilla lanigera (long-tailed chinchilla)
Lineage: Eukaryota; Metazoa; Chordata; Mammalia; Rodentia; Chinchillidae
Exons: 2
Source: RefSeq, a predicted model, not a curated record